GUGCUUGCUUUGGCAGCACAUAUACUAAAAUUGGAACGAUACAGAGAAGAUUAGCACGGCUCCUGCGCAAGGAUGACACGCAAAUUCGAGAAGACCAUAACAUCUCA
Molecule: small nuclear RNA, 107 nt
Filed under: Octodon degus (degu)
Lineage: Eukaryota; Metazoa; Chordata; Mammalia; Rodentia; Octodontidae
Source: RNAcentral